RNAcentral lists this ribosomal RNA (489 nucleotides) under uncultured bacterium. RNAcentral's name for it is "partial 16S ribosomal RNA". It matches the Rfam family "Bacterial small subunit ribosomal RNA", at positions 28 to 506 of the family's 1533-position model. The record is from RNAcentral.
GAUGAACGCUCGCUACAGGCUUAACACAUGCAAGUCGCGGGGCAGCAUGGGGGUUGCUUGCAAUCCCCGAUGGCGACCGGCGCACGGGUGAGUAACGCGUAUCCAACCUGCCCUUCACCACGGGAUAACCCGGCGAAAGUCGGACUAAUACCGUAUGUUGUCCAUUGACGGCAUCCGAUUUGGACGAAAGGUUUGGCGGUGAAGGAUGGGGAUGCGUCCGAUUAGCUGGACGGCGGGGUGACGGCCCACCGUGGCGACGAUCGGUAGGGGUUCUGAGAGGAAGGUCCCCCACACUGGAACUGAGACACGGUCCAGACUCCUACGGGAGGCAGCAGUGAGGAAUAUUGGUCAAUGGGCGUAAGCCUGAACCAGCCAAGUAGCGUGCAGGAUGACGGCCCUAUGGGUUGUAAACUGCUUUUAUGCGGGGAUAAAGUGGCCCACGUGUGGGUUUUUGCAGGUACCGCAGGAAUAAGGACCGGCUAAUUCCGU